UACUGUAAGGAGUAGGGUCUCAGAGCAUGAAAAAAGAAAUACAAUGAGAAAGAAGGAUUCAAUCCAGAAUCUCUUGCUAGAGUUUCUGAGAGACGCGGCGGAUCUGGGUUAGGUUGCUAUCCCCAAAUGGUGGGGCGGAGGCUUGGUUCUGGAGGAGCAGACCCGCAAACUCCAGAACAGAGCAGCCUUGUAAAAUGUGUUUGGGCAGCUCUGAGACGCGUCAUCCACUGCCUCAUUUGUAAAAAAGUAUGGAAAGCAUCGGUACAUGUUCUGCCAUCUUGGGACGCUGGCCUUUUCUAACAGGGGUGUCUUGAGGAGGAGAACAUGGCUGCUGUUCGAACG
Molecule: long non-coding RNA, 342 nt
Organism: Suricata suricatta (meerkat)
Lineage: Eukaryota; Metazoa; Chordata; Mammalia; Carnivora; Herpestidae
Exons: 3
Source: RefSeq, a predicted model, not a curated record